Molecule: long non-coding RNA, 24568 nt
Filed under: Fragaria vesca (wild strawberry)
Lineage: Eukaryota; Viridiplantae; Streptophyta; Magnoliopsida; Rosales; Rosaceae
Description: long non-coding RNA (FVES_LNC002130)
Source: RNAcentral
AAAACUAAAAUGUGUACGUGUAUGAGAGAGAGAGAGAGAGAGAGAGAGAGAGAGAGAGAGAGAGAGAUAUGAAGCUAGAAUCGAAAGGAUCGAUGAUCAUGAUUACUCACUUGAUGAAGCGGUUGUAGGCUGAGGGGACUCUCUGUCUCUUCUCCGGAGCUGAACAACGCAUUCAAAGACACAGACAUUAAGAAUCAUCUUCAUGACCUAGCUACCUUAUAAGUAUACUUAAUUAUGAUCCAGCAAUCUGCGACGUUAUCAAGUAACUAUAUACAAUUUGCGGCCGGGGAAGAAUGGUCUAAGGAAUUAUUGCCGGCCUGCUACAUUUCAGAGGGGAUUUAUACCAGAAAGGACCUAAAACAUGAUUAAUGAGGCUAAGUUCAUAAACUAUAAAAGAAUAUACCCAUAAAAGAAAAGCUUAAAGCAUCAUAUUUCAGAAGAGUGUCCGUCCUAUUACACUUUAAGCGUGCAAAUGGAAAAGAUGAAACAUUGGAACCGUCUUGUCAAGUAUACAUAUACAGAAGCUUUAGACACAUUAUGUCUCAGCUUAAUUACUAGAUUGUUCCUAUGCAUAAUUUCUUGAAUGUUGAAAAGGACUGAUGAAGUCUGUGAAAGUGUGAAGAAUUUCAUUUCUUUGGUCUGUUAACAACAAAUAAAUGUUUGAGGAAAGCUAGCAAAGUUAAAUUCUAGCUACUGAAAUCUUGCCUGCAACGGAAGCUAGCAUAGAAGGGGUUGAUUAUAAAUCUGCGAACUUGGUUUUAUCCUCGUCUACCAGAUAGAAAGACCUUGGUAACUUCAGGGAUUAGAGGGAAGAAUUAAAGAUGCCCAAACUUAUUAAACUUUUCUUCAAUGAGUACCAAAAUGAAACCAGAAAUGAACUAUCCUGGGUUCUAGACCAAAAUACUUCGUAGAAAGCUAUAUAAUAUAAUAUAGGGUCUACUAACAGCUACCCGUCUGAACUUAUAAGCUCUAGGGCUAGGUAAUUAACACAGAUAAUAAGAUCAAAAGUGAAAGGAUGCGUGUAAUUAAGGAAGAAAGUUGCUCACGUCUGUUAAUAACUGGAGGCCUUGGGAGCUCAUCAGCUACUCCUCCUCUUGGUCUUACAGCAAAGUCAUUCAGGCUGCUAGUUUGAUUGUUCAUCAGAAAGUUUGGGGUUGGAUUCAUUAACGGAAUCUCCUGAUCCUGAAGCACAAUAUUUACGGUGAAUUUACCAAUAUAUAGAAUCAAGUUUUUCAAAAGGUUAUUCGAUCAAGUGUAUAUAGGUAUACCAGAAGGUUAUGGGAAUUUGGCUGGGAGAAGAAGGAGUGACCGAGAUGAUGAAACUGAUUUGGGGAAGGCAGAAGCAACCCGCGCAUGUUCACCGGAAGCAGGUUGGUGCAGUGGCCACAUCGUACCGUCACAGUCUUGAACAAACUUGUGCAAGGAACACUCACCUGCAUACAUCAAACCAGAAACAUAAGCAGAACACAUAUAAAAUCAAUUGAAAGAGCAAAACAGCCCCCAAAACUAAGCCUAAACAGCAUAAUAUAUGGAAGAGAUUAACAGAAGAAACCAAGGAUGGAGGUUGAAUAUGGAGGUGGGGUUUACCGCAAGGACAGUGUCGCAAAUGUUGCAAUGGACAUAGCAGAGCUGCUCGGAAGGAGCAAGGUGGUCGAGGGACAAGGUCGAAGAAGCAGAAUUAGAGGAUGACAUGAUGAUUCCUUUUCCUAUCUUUUCUUUUAUAAAUUUGAUUGGUGAUUGAUGAUUGGUCUCUCUUUGGGGUUUGAUUGAUUGAUUGACGGAUGACAGCUUAACCACCACCUUGGAUCUGCUUUUCUACAAUUCUUUCUUUCUUUGAUUAUGAGUUGUGAAAGAAAGGUGUGAAACAAAGAGAGAGAUAGAGAGAGAGGUAGUGAGAGAGAGAGAGAGAGAGAGAGACAGAUGGGGAUCAAGGGAUAUCUAUUUGGUCUACUAGAUAUAAGAGAGCUGUGCUGGGAACCAGAGACCCUUCCAUUCUCUCCCCUCUAUUUAUUGGUGCUGUGUGAUUUUUUUUUUUACUGUGAUUAUCCUGUUGAUUCAUACUGUUCACCCAAUUAUUAUUGUCACUUCGAACUCCAAAAAAUUCUGGAGUUAGCUAGCUAGUAGUGAUUGUCUAAAGGGAUAUCGAUCACCUUCGAUCUGUAUUCCAAUACGUUAUGAACUCGUGAUUUAAGUUCAUUCUUGUCUAGUUUCUAACCAUAUAUACAUCAAACCGACCUCUAGGCUUUAGCUAGUUGUAUUUAUGUUGUUUAUACACUUGACUGAGACUAAAUAUAUGAUAAAAUAGUCUGGGGUUCACAUCUAAAACCAAUUGGCAAUAGAUGGAGUGGUCCAAACCCUUAUAAACCACAGGCAAUGUCCCAUUUUUUCUGAUGUGGGAUAUAUAUCUCAACACGCCCCCGCACGUGUGACGAAUCUUCAAGCCUAACACGUGGACAACAUUUGGGGUGACGUGGAGUUCGUGUGGCCUUUAGGCUUCACACGUGGACGUGGGUAACCCGCUCUGAUACUAUGAUAAAGUAGUCUGGGGUUCACAUCUAAAACCAAUUGGCAAUGAAUGAAUUGGCCGGCCCAAACCCUUAUAAAUCACAGACAAUGUCUCAUUUUUCCUGAUGUGGGAUAUAUAUCUCAACAAUAUAAAGAGUUAGGAUGUUAAAUUGUUAAACAUUACUAUAAUACUAACCCCUACUCAUAUAUUUACAAGAAAUUACAAAUGUGACAAAAAUUUGUUGUCUGAGUGCUAAUGUUGAUUACUGUUUCGUGUAAUCUUAGUUUUCGUAAUGGUAAUUAGACAACGUACAACAUUUUACAAGUCUUUGAACAGAUUCAUUGUCAGUGUUGUAAUUUUUGUUUAAAUUUACUAACUAGCCAGUGUACGUAAAUGAAUAAAUUAACUUUGUCAAGUAUAUGUACGUAUUGGGAUUUGACUAGAGUUGAAAAAUGUAUCAAGAAACAGCACUAAAUAUCACCACCGGUCGAUCAUCCGAUGUCUAUGACCGGCCAUGCAUGUAUAUAACGUCCAUGAUUCAUCAUCCAUGUCCAUGAUCACCAAAGAUAAACAUGCGCAUGCAUGGUGUUAAUUAUCCCAUAAUCAACACAGAUAUGUGGUUGGCACUCCCGAUGCCAUAGCUAAGCUGCUUAGCUAGCUCAGAGAGAGAGAGAGAGAGAGGCGGUAGAUGUGGGGGAGAGGAGCUCGAAAGAGACGUGUGCAUGGCGGUGAUAUUGCUUUCACACAAACACACAUACACAACACUCAUCAUCUGUUGUUUUCAGAACUUAAAGAGGGUGUUGUCUUCACUCUUGCGGUGCAGUUGGUUUUCAAAUUUUCUCUUUCGAGCUCGGCCUCAAUUUCCGAACCCACUCCCAAAAUAACUCCAUGACUCCCUUCUAUACCUCCCGGACAAUAAGCCCUUCUCCACCCCCUCUUUGUUUGGCCCUCCGCCCCCUUCUCCGCCUCGACAGGGCGCUCUCCUCGAUCCAUCUAUAUCUUCCUGCUUCCCUAUCCUCACCCCGUGAUGAUCAACCCCACCAACCCCAUCAUAACACAAUCAUGCAUACACGACUCGUAAUACAUAAUGCCAAAAUUUUCUAAUUCUGUAAAAUGAUUAAUUUCUAAUGUCUAUUAUAUAUAAAAGCUAGCUAGCUAGCUAUAGUACUGGAAUUCUGUAGACGUUCAGUGAUUUGACCACUCGAUCUCCCUCGUCUAACGCACAGCGCAGACAGAUACGUAUUUAAGUAGUCAGUACUCAGUAAGAAACAUAUAUCUCAGUAGCUAUAUUGCCAGGCACCUCCUUACCACCUUUGUCCUUUCCUAUAUUUAUUUCUGCUUUUCUUUUCUGGCUUCUCUUUUAGCUAUUUUGGUUAGAAUCUUUCUCUGAUCCUUUACAUAACUCUAGGGUUUUUGUUACAUAGUUUGCAAAGCCACCUAGCUAGCUAUAUACAGCUACCCUGUAACUAUCUUUGAAAAAAGAUAGUCGCCCAGUUCCCGUAGAUAUUUACCAUUGUUUCCUUGAUCGAUUAAUUAGGGUUCAAAGAUCGAUCAUGCGGAUCAAAUUUCCAGAACGAUCGCCAUCUUACCAUAAAUGGCCUAAUUGGAUUUCCUCUUCCCCAGAAAAUUCAUAGUGUUGUUGUUAUUAUUCAUCCAUGAUGAUUCAUAUGAUCGGAUGCAUUCACUCUCACUCACAAAUGAGAAGUUGGGGGGGGGGGGGGGGGUCCUGCAUGUGUACAUAACUCGUAUGCAAGAAGCUAGAACAUUAAAUGUGUGGUAAUGGGGGAAAAGGUUGUAAAGUUUCACAAAUGACUAAUUCAAACUUACUUCACAGUUUUUCAAACUGUACAUGACAUUAACGAACAGGUUGAAAGGGAAAUGAGCCUGAGAAUCUGAGACAGACACUUGAAUGAGUGCUCCUAGUCCUCGAUUUUCCUAAAGAUGAAGUUCAAAGUAUUUAUUUGACGGCCAAAGAAAAGCAAACUCAUCAAAAGGACACUGAAACAAAAAAGCUACAUCGCGCAUGGAAUUAGCAUGCAUCCACAAAUUAAAGGUCCCUUUAUACACGAUGAGGAACUUAUAAGAACAGUGGUUUCUUUUAAUUAUCACUGUCCAUGUAUCUGUUACUGAUUAAUUUGGGUUUGAAGUAGGUAGAACUGAUUGAAGUACUGUUUAACUUGGAAAUUUUGCCUAGAUAUGUUUGAAGUGAUGCAUGGCAAGAAAAACUGUUUUGUUUAUCAUCAGCAAAAUGAUUUUGAUACCACUCAUCGAUGAUCGGCAUGAUCAAUCUAGCUAGUAUGUUUCUGAUGAUCUUGAGUUCAAACUGAUCUAAUUCAACUUGCAACAUUUGCAUGAUGCCAGAUGCAUGGACUUAUCUGAUGCUUAUGCAUAAUCACAUAUAUACAUGCACAGUAAUAUCGAGCAGUGUAUGAACGUACGAAUGAGGAAAAAGUUAUCACUGUAAAAAGCCUGCUAGGAGCUAUUUGUUGCUGUUUGUGGGGAUAUGUGGAUCUUUGAAUCUUUCUUACACAGUCUCUCUCUCUCGACCUCUCUCGCUCUGAUGGAAGAAGGAGAUCGAUAUAUUUUGGAAUGGGGGCAUUUUUGGUACAUGUACGUAUGAUGGGGUUGGGUAAGAACCGAUAAAGUUGAAAUUCAGAGUUGCUCCGUUGUCUGAUAUAUGUAUGUUGGCAUCUCGAUCCAACUGUGGCCCUCUUCGGCUUUGGCUAGCUCCUCUCUAGAUAUUUGCAGUGAAUGAGCGCAACAUACAGCAAUUAGUUUAAAAGCGCGGGCGGUGGUGAAGGCCCUAGCUGGUACACACACAUACACACACCUUUAGCUUCUUUAAUAUUAGCCUUUAGCUGUUGAGUGCUGGUGAUCGAUGAAUAGCUCGAUCAUCAGCCCUUUAGAUAUCGAUCCCAACAGCUAAACCCCACAGGCAAUCGUUGAGGCCAUGUUGUUGCAUGGGCAUGAGGAAUUUCUUGUUCUUUCUGAACCCACACAAAGGACAAGCAUAUAAUGGCAAAUGUCCUACAAAAGGGAUGGGGUUAGAGAGGAACCAAAGGCCUGCCCUUGCCCUUUCCUGGCCUUUUAAUCGAUCACUCUGAGGUGAUUGAUUCAACUGAGAAGAUGACAAAUAAGGAGCUAGCUGCUGCUACUUGCGCAUUGACUCGGUCGACUAACUUUGGACCCUAGCUACAUAGCCUCGCUCUGAUUUCAACAAAAGAUCCAACCAGCUAGGUCUUGUUUCGAUCAUCGAUCUAACUAGAUUUUCUCAUUUUCUUGUUGGUUCGAACCGGAUGUCCAAUAACCUGUUGCUUUUUCUAAGUCGAUCUCUAAAGAUGAUCGAGGCUCUGAACUAAUUGAGUCUAAUAUACAUUGGGUACGAACUGUUUUAAAAGUACGUAAACCUAGUGGCCUAAUGCAACACAUGCAUGUCAAUAUCAAACAUUUCUCACAGUUAUGUUUGUGUCAUUGAUUAUCAUGGCAAGAAAAGUUGCAGAGCUAGCGAAGUGUAGACGCUUGAGCUAGCCAAUAUUUUCAACAUGCAUGAUGCCAUCAAGGUCCAAAAUUAAGACCUUGAGCUCACCUUAAAAACCACCACACUGGUUUACACACUUCAUUUAUCAUUAACAUAGAAUGUUAAUGUCUAUGUUAAUGAUAAAUUUGGUCUUAUAGACCCCAGUAGGUUCAGUAACCCCCUAUCAUGAGUAUUAUCAUUUCGACUCUGGAAAAGAAAGAACAUGAAAGUAUUGGCCAAGGCUCAAGACUCAAGAGUCAUGAGUCAUGAACUCAUGACACAAAAGAUGAAAAGGUACCCAGCAAGAUUUAAAAAUCCAUCACCAAGCAAGAUGCUUCAAAUCGGGUUAACGGGCCACGGAGGCCGCUUUAGAGGUUAAAGGCCCAACUAUAUUUUUGUAAGAUGAUUGGAAAAAAAAUGUGAACUAUAUCCAAUUAUCCAUACAAAAAAGCAGUUUAUCUAGUCUCAUAGAUGUUGAUAUUUGACUUGGCAACAAGUGGCAAACCACAAACCUUAGAACAAACACGUCUCGUGUGUACUCCUCUCAGCCAGAAGUCGAUGCUUCAUCAAAGGUGCACAUAGAACCUUCCCAAUCCAUUUUUAUCUCAAAUUCUAGUUUCUGUGUUCUUCUUGCAUCCUUGGCAACAAGAUCAACACCGCUCUGAAAAUUGUAAUGGCACUCACUUUUAUUUCCUCACUCGCUAUUCACUCCUUAACCUCAUGUUCUUCGAAUUCAAAGACUCCUCCAAUUCGUCUGCAAGCCCCCUCCAGACCCUUUUCCAUGGUAUGCCAUAUAGACCCUAACAGACACAAUGUUAAAGGUAAUUACUUGUAUGGUUCUGUAACCAAUUCAAGUACAAGUAAUAGAAUUUAAGUUGUUACUGUUAUAGUUGUAUAUAGUAGCUUAUUGAGUUUCCUUGAAAAGGAAGAUGGUUCCCACAAGCAAUGCCUCACCAUUAGUCAAGGGUCCAAGUGUUGGAAAAACAUUGUUUCAGUCGCAUUGGCAACUGCUGCGGUUAUUAGUUUCAGCUCUGGCAUGCCCGCCAUUGCAGACCUUAAUAAGUUCGAAGCUGAAACACCUGGUGAAUUUGGGAUAGGAUCAGCUGCCCAAUUUGGUUCUGCAGACCUCAGGUCACUUCUUUGUUUUCCUUUUCUUUCUCUUUUCCAAGAUUUGUAUUGUAAGAUUUUCUGUGUUGUAUGCAAAAGGUUUAAAAUUCUAUUCCAAUCUUGAUGUACAGGAAAGCAGUGCACGUGAAUGAAAAUUUCAGGUAAUUUUCGCAUUUGAGUUCUGAAUUUAGACCAAUGUUAAUAGCAAACAGAUGAGGAGAAACUUGACUGAUAUCAGUAUGUGCAUUUUAAUUGGUACCUAUGGCUGCUAUUUGUAUUCAGUACUUCUGUUUCUUUUGCUGUUUGUUUGACUUCAGUCUUACUGAGCUUUACUACUUCUGGAACUUGUUUCAAUAUAUUGUGUACUCCGGCAUUUAUAAUCAAACUAAUCGACUGAUACAGGAGGGCCAAUUUCACAUCUGCUGAUAUGAGGGAAUCUGAUUUCAGUGGUUCAACAUUCAAUGGUGCAUACCUUGAGAAAGCUGUAGCAUAUAAGGCUAAUUUUGCUGGUAAGGUUGUUGUCAUUGAACAAUUUACUAUGUAAAUGUAAAUGGAAACCGAAAUAUGAAACAAGUGAAAGGUAGUAGAAGUAGAGAAAAAACCUUCCUUAAGAACUGAUUGUAGGAGUAAAUGUUGCCCGACGUUCAGUUCUAAAAUCUGUGAUGUAUUAGUUGGGAGCAUUCUCGACUUCUCAUAUGAACUUGUUUGCCACUUGCCAUUGGAACUCUGUUCAAACUUAAAUUAUGGCCUGCUUCCAUUUCAUUUCAAAGCUAUUCAAGGAUCAAAAUGGCUCCAAUCUGGAAUACUGGCUGCAUUCGGGAAACUUCAUUUCCUUAGCGAAGUUAGACUCAUUAGAGAAAAUGAGAAACAUAGAAAGGACUAGUAAGAAGAACUAGCAGUAACUUAUCAUGCUAUUACUCAUCUUACAGAAGAAAAAAGGACAUCAUUUACUCAUAUAUUAGUCCCUUAAAUUGCCUAAAAUUCAGAUAUAUUUCUCAUUUCCGAUAUAACACCGCCCAUGUCAAAAAUAGUUUGUUUGCACUACAUUUUGUUUUUAAAGAUAUAGAUCAGUCAGCAGUGUAAUGUUAGGGGAGUUACUAUGCUUUUACCAAAGGAAAACUGGAUUUGUUUCUAUUCUAAAUUUGAGUCAGAGGAUUAGCCAAUACAUUUUCAUUGGUCUUCAUAAUUCUACUUUACUUGCACUUAUUUGGUAUUACUUUGUUACAUCGAUCAAACUUCAAAGUUUAUUUAACCUAUAUACUGAAUCUUUUCUUAUCCAUUAUCCAUGAUCAAUAUCUUUGAUUAGGAUUCAUGUUGCUUAUUGUACCAAUAUAUACAAUCUUUUAUAACUUUAUACUUACUAAUUUUCAUAAAACUCUUAGAUUGUUAAUUUUUUUAUAACAUUUUACAGGUGCUGAUUUGAGCGACACAUUGAUGGAUCGUAUGGUAUAACUUGAAUAGCAUAGCACAAACUCCUCAACUAUUUGUUUCUGGCAUUGCUUUAGGCAUAGUUACAUUUACACUAAAGGAGUUUGUUGAGACACUGGCUUGUUUCAUUCCAUUACUCAAUGAUUAAAAUGAUCACAGGUCCUUAAUGAAGCUAAUCUCAAGGAUGCUGUGCUUGUUAGAUCGGUUCUCACUCGAAGUGAUCUUGGUGGUGCCUUAAUUGAAGGUGCUGAUUUCAGUGAUGCUGUCUUGGACCUCUCCCAGAAGCAGGUGCUGUUUAUUGCUUGUGUUUGUUGCAGAAAUAUGUUUCCUUCAAAAUCAGAUCCUAGCCUUUCUUUAUUUCCACUAAACUCUUCGGUUUACUCUUAAUCAUAUAGGCUCUAUGCAAGUAUGCAAGUGGCACUAACCCAACUACAGGGGUGAGCACAAGAACAAGCCUAGGUUGUGGGAACAGUAGACGAAAUGCUUAUGGCUCUCCCUCAUCCCCUUUGUUAAGUGCACCACCUCAGAAACUACUUAAUCGGGAUGGAAUCUGUGAUCAAGAAACUGGUCUUUGUGAUGUAAAAUGAUUCCAAUGCUAAGCAUGGUAAUUAGUUUUACCCACAUUGAAUUGAUCACAUACCACAUCCAGGUAUAUGUAUGCAGGAGAAAAGAUACUGCAGAUUGAACAAAAGCACAUGUACAUCCUUGAGGCGUCAGGAAGCCAUAUAUAUGAAACAUGUACAUUUGAAAGUUGAAACAGCAGGCAGCAAUUUUUUAUCAUCAAUCUCUGAAAGUAUUUUGGACAUAUUCUGAGGAGAAAUAGUUUCUUGACUUUCCUUCAUAAUCAUCCAAGUCUCAGACCAAAAAUAUCAUCAUCCAAGGAUGACAAGAAUCCGGGAAAUUAGCACAAGAACCACUUUUGACAUUUAAAGGCAAUUGUUAUGUUACAUCGUUUGCUGUGAUCCGCUAUGAGUCUAUAAGAACAAAGUUUGACAAAACAGACCGCAAGUAGUCACUGUGCAGUUAACACCACUAGGGCGUUCGAGUGAAACCCGGAAACUCAGUAUGACUUCGCGAAAAUGGCAACUUCCUCAGCAGGAUUGCCAGUCAUCAAACAUGUUUUAAUCCCAUGCGGCUGGUCAAAAGGAAAACACCUUAUGGUUGCCCCUGUUUCUUCUUUCACCUUCAACUCAUCUUUGUCACUGUACCAAUAAGGAUAUAUUUAGAGCUUGAUGUUAGCAUCAGACGAGCAAUUACAUUAGUAUACAUUAUGCAAUUCAUACUAUCGAAUCAACAAAGACAUCAUCAAAUGAUGAAGUUUAGACCCAAACCUAGCUGACCAAGGACCUCUUGCCCAUUUUCCCUGGGAGAUCGCAACUUUGAGUUCAUCAUAUGAGCUCACAUCCACAAUAUUGCUGCAAUAAAAACAUUCUUAUUGUUAAUGCCCCCACAACUUUUCUUAUGAAGUGUGACAAGUGAAAGAAUGGACAUCUCAUCAUAGUGAAUAGACAAGGCAUAAACCCUCGCUUUCUAGAAUCACUGGUAGUAAAUUCAUUGCAUACAUAUUGGACUAUAACCAUAACCUAGUUUGAAACAGCAAAUAUGUCUAAUUUUUAUCUUCAGGAAAUUCAUUGAGCACUAUUAAUUCUUUUUACUAGUAACAAUCGAUGAAAUCCAAUGGAUGAUAAUCAAUCUUGAGGGUUAAGACAAUACAGAGUAUUAGAGUAUCAAAUUAGAGCCAGAAAUUGCACCUAUCACGAAAUGAUUUUGCUUGUCCCAAAAGAGAUGACUGGAUCUCAUCCAACUUGUCCUUGAUAUAAGCCUCCAAAAUCAAAGGCUCCAUGGAUAUUCCAAAAACCUUCCCUUGCUUUCCAGGAACAUCUCUUCUACAUACAACCACACUCUGGCUUGAUACGUCACGAGGACCGAUUUCAAUCCUUAAAGGGACUCCCUACAAAUCAAUCAGCUAUUGAGGUGAUUGAAAACAAGAGAAUCUUUUCGUAGCAAAGUGUAAAUUGAAUCUCCAAGAGUAGCAUGCCAAAGAUACCAAUUUCUAUUUAGCAUGCCAAUGAAGAAGACAAACCUUCAUCUCCCAGAAAUUGAAUUUCCAUCCUGGUGUUCUUUGAUCAGUGUCAUCAAGUUUAACUUUAAUCCCCGCAGUGUGCAGUGCAUCCUUUACAGAUGAUGCAGCAUUGAGAACUGCUGCUUUAUCAUCUUCCUUCUUCCAAAUGGGAACGAUCACCACCUAAGAAACCAAUGUAUUCUUUUAAUAGAGAACAGAGAAGGAAUGUGUGCACUUACAAUUAGGCUCAUGCAGCAAAUAAUACAAGCACAAUCAUAUUGAACUUACAAUUAGGCUCAUACAGCAAAUCAUACAAGCACAAUCAUAUUGAACUUAAAGCAUAACAUGGCACCCUUUAUUAUGAGACCAAGGAAAACUAAUAAAUGAUCAAGUGAAGUAGGAGAAUUAUUAACCCAACUACAACAAGGCAUACUUUCUGUUUAAAAUAUUUCUUAGCUAAAUAAUGGGAGUAUAACCAUGCAAAAUCUAGAAAUGCAUCCUACACAAUAGGGAAAGGGAAUUUAUGCCAGACAUAAGGGGUAGUCCAUUUUAUUGGUAUGCUUCUGUUAUACAUUAGGGACAUGCCUUGGAAUAUAAUGAUUUAAAAUCUCCAAAUUUAGUCUUUACCUGUAUUGGAGCAAUCUUUGGGGGAAGCAUUAAACCAGUGUCGUCUCCAUGGGUCAUUAUAAUGCCACCAACAAAACGGGUACUCACAGCCCAGGAAGUCUGCCAUACAUGUUGCCUCUGUCCACUUUCAUCAGUAAACUGUACAAAGCACAUAUCUUGGUCAGUCUAGCUGAUGGCUUAUACACUUUUUUUUUUUGAUGGCUUAUACACAUUAAGAAGCCUGCAAUAGUAUAUCAAAGUACCAGUGUUCCAAAGGCACGAGAGAAGUUCUGCCCAAGAUUGUGGCUGGUUCCAGCCUGCAGUGCCUUCCGAUCACCCAUCAUAGCCUCUAUUGUGUAGGUCCUAACAGCACCAGCAAAUGUUUCCACUUUUGAUUUUCGACCUGCAAUGACAGGUAUUGCAGCUUCCUCAUAAGCAAAUUUUGUAUAUACGUCAAUCAUCUGUAUAGCCUGCAGUUUAGUAGCACACUGAAUGCAUUAGACAAGAACGACACUCAUUUAACCACUGAUUAAAGGAAAGUAGUUAAAUCAAAUAAACCUCUUUCUCUGCCUCCUCUGGAGUGGCGUGAGCAGUAUGGCCUUCCUGCCAGAGAAACUCAAGCGUCCUCACAAAAGGUUUCGUCCGCAUCUCCCAUCUUGUGACAUUUGCCCACUGAAUCAAAUUAGACACGAUAGAGAACAAAGCUUAAAGCGAAACUCCUCCACAUAAAGUUGACGCACGGCAAACAAUGCAACAAAGCAUCAUACCUGGUUCACCAUAAGCGGAAGAUCACGGUAACUAUGAAUCCACUGAGUGAACAUGUGAUUCACUAUGGUUUCACUUGUGGGUCGAACCUGCCAGAGCCCUCAAGAAGUGCAAUAUCUUAGGUCAUAGUGAAUAACACCUUCAACACUGGAACACAAAAGACUCAACAACCGAAAACACAUUACGUACCACAAGCUUUUCUUCAAGCUCCUUCCCUCCUCCAAUAGUCACAAGAGCUAAUUCAGGACUAAAACCUUCAACGUGACUAGCCUCUUUCUCUAUAAACGAGUAGGGUAUAAGCUGCACAUUUCGCCAUUUCAAGAAUCACACAUCGGCAAUCAUAAACUUUCACAUUUUUAACUGAUUAGUAAUUACCUGUGGGAAAUACAUGUUACUGUGACCGGUCUCUUUGAACUUGACAUUCAGAUAAUCCUACAAGAAGAGUAAAAUUACAAUCAAAACCCUAGAAUUGAACUUGAAAUCGAGUCACUAGUGAGUACCUGAAUGGCUUCCCAGAUAGCAUAGCCGUAGGGACGAAUCACCAUGGUUCCGCGAACGGGACCGUAAUCUGCAAGCUCCGCAUUCGCAAUGACGUCGAGGUACCAAGCGUUGAAGUCCUGUGAGCGAGGAGUGACGCCGCCUUCCUGGACUUUUUCAGUCGCCGGCACCGUGCUCUGAGCUGAGAAUCUGGCGGUGAAAGAAGGAGUUCGGAGGUGGUGACGACGGCGGAGAACCGAGGGGUAACGGCGGGAGAUGGAGGGGGAGAAGAGCGAGCUCAGAGAUGGGAGUCUCAGAGAGACGGCCAUGUUUGCUUGUUGAUAGCUCGUCUCGCUAUUUUCCUUUUCCUUUUUUUCUUGGCGUUUUAAAUGGUGGACCCCAGAGCCCGUUAAGGCCCGCGCCAAUCUGACCGCCUAGCCCUAGCACGUGUCUUCCUAGCCCUAGCCUGCUUAGUUAAAAAUAGGCCCAACUUGUUUCAGACCCAACCCACCAUUUGCCUUUUUAAAUGGUGGACCCCGCGCCAACCUGACCGCCUAGCCCUAGCACGUGUCCGUCCAGGUCGCAUGAAUUAUUAUUAUUAUUAUUUUUUUUUCUCUUAAAAUCUGGAAUUGGAAUUCAUGAGCCUUGGCUACCUUGCCGACUUGAAGACGUACUCUCCGUCUCCUCCGAGUAAUUGGACGGCGGAUCCCCUGAAACUUAACAUCCAUCGUCAUCUGUCUAAACUUAAACCUAACAUGUAUGUGUGGAAUGCCUGAAUUGAAGUUUCUGAGUCGGAAGGUUAUUGUUAGAGUCAUCGAUUGCAGGUUUGGUAUUACUUCUGUAUAUUAAUUGAUUCAUUGCUUGUUUAGUCUUGUUUAGUUUCGGAGUAGAUUGUUAGGGAUUGGGUUAAAAAGGUUGAGUAUUAUAUUAUAUCCGCAUAUCCAUUGCAGAUCCGAGCUCUAGUGAAGUUGCUCAAGUUACAGAGCUCUUGCCUCAGCAAAGAAAAUUUUUCAAACUUGCAGCAGACAAUGACAGCAACCUAUCCAGAGAUUGAGCAUGGGAUUCACCAUAAGCUUUAUCCUUUAUCAAAGCAUCACAAGCCAUGCAUCUUCAAGUUCUAAGUUCCAUAUCGUUAAAGAGGAGGGGUACGCUUACAGAGGCACCUGAAGAUGAUUUAAUUUCAUAUAAAAGAAACUUUGAUAAAGAGUACGUUGACGUCGUUGUUAUGGACAUCUCCUCGAGAAAUUGAUCGGCCGAGAGGGUGUUGCAAUAAAGUAGCGUAGUGCCUAUAUAUGAAAGCUAGCUAUAGAAAGAUCGGUGGAUAAUUCCUAACGAACGUACGUACGUAUCUAGCUUCGUAUUCCAGGCCGGUCAAGUUUGAAAACCAAUAUAUCUGCUAAAUAAGAACCGAUUGAUUAGUUGCUUGGACUUUACUUUUCUUUUACUUAAAGUGGAGAAGCAUCCAUCCGGGAAAUUCCCACCAAAAGAAGAAGGGUAUAGGUGGUGAAACAUUCAUCAUGGAUCAAGUCGUCUCCUUCGUUGGUUUGCUUCCUGGUUCUGUAACAACUACCAAACCAUUACGUAAAACCAAUCAGGGAAUGUGCCCUCCUCCCCUGUCAGCUCUCAUCCUCUUCCUCCAUGUGUGUCGCACACCAUCCUUCUCAUGAGUAAUUGAACUCUUUUGUUCUUUCCAAUGCUGUAGAGGUAAACUUCACUCAUACAGUCAUACUAGCUAGCCGGCCAGUACGUAUUUCUACCAUCCUAUCGAUCAUACCCAAAUAAUUCACUGUGCAUCUUUUUGUUAUAUGAUUGCUGCACAAACGUAUUAACUGUCCAUAUAUACGUGUAGCUAUACCAUCUCAAUUAUCCGUGAUGAUCAGAUUUAUACAUAUGUCGACGACGUCGGUCAUUCUAGUACAGUAUACAGUAUACAGACACACAAGGUCAGAUAUAUGGUUACCAAAAACUACUCACAUCAUAAGUGCAUCAGACGUAAUGAGGGCAGGAGACUACAAUAUAAUCAUCCUCGUAUUUGAUUUCAUAUGUUUGUCAAAUUCUCAUCAUCAUCACUCAUUAUAAUAGAUUUAUACGGUUUAUAGUAUAUAUUAAUAUAUGAAAGUCAAGAAAGCAGAUAAUUAAUUAAUUGAACAUGUCAGCUAAUUGCCAGCACCGACCGGAAUAAGCUAGAUUAAUGUUUGGUUUAAUUAGAAUUAGGGUCAAGUGAGGACAAAUGAAUAGCACUAGAGGCAAGUCCGGACUCCGGUAAAGGGAGCACGUUAAUGAUGAUGCUUUCACAUGGUAUUGUUUCCUUAUUCAAAUUUGUUGAUCAUGUUCAAUUAUCUUAAUUAAGACCGAAAAUUAUUCUACGCACUAAGGUGCAAGUGAACCGAGCAACUAAUAUGUAAUAUUUUGAUCUGAUCAUCCACGUCAUAUUAUCAUACAUGUAUUAAUUCUAACACUGUUAACAAAAUUGAAACUCAAACAAAUAAUCAUAAGUGUUUCUAACACAGGAAAUGUACUUGAAGUCGAAUAAGAUGUACUCUUAUCGUGAGUAUUUAAUUUGAGCGGAUCAAAAAUGAGGAUGAGAUGAAAGAAUUUAGGGUCUCUAAUACUCUUGAUUGGAUCUUCGCAUGAGGUGAUUUGAGAACUUGCACAUUAAUGGUGCAAAUACACUUUAGUGCGUAGAAUCCAUGUUUUUAAUAAACCUUAACCCUUUUCUGUCAGAAAGAACCGCACUCACUUUCAUAUAUGCUUAUCCUUUCUCGGCUUCUCUUUCUCUUCAAUGAUCGACGAGUUCAUUUCCCAAGCAAGCAUCUAUUGAGUUGAUGAGAGCACGCCCAAUGAUGAUGUCCCUUCAGAAAGCCUCAUUGCUUAAAAGGGAUUCUCAUGCUUGACUUCAACUCAAAUAAGAAGAUGCAGAUGCUCGCUCUUAGGUCAAUUUUCGAUAACGACCGCACUUAAAUUAUUUAGCUACAUGUAUAUAUGUCCCAUACUCGUUAUAAAACUCUCAAACUUGGUUCUGUCGAUAGGUAGUUGAACCCAGCUGCUAGUAUAUUUUCAACUACUUCAAGCGGGUCCAUGAAAUCCAAAUCUGCAAAACUACCUUGUUCCUCUCAAUCUUCAAGCUUCAACCGGUCGUCUUGCUGGGAAACUAAGGCAGGUGAUUCAUAUCUAAAACAAAGCUUUACGUGUUCCAUAUAUAGUUUUCUCAAAGCAUUUGCAUACCCUUAGUUAUAUAUGUCUGAGAGCUGUUGCAUGGCUUUGUGCUUUUUCCCAGCCAGUCCUAUCGAUCUGUAUAUCUGAUUUCCCAUGGUACAAGCUAUUUACAAUACUAUAAAGAAAACCGCAAUUGUGAAGAAAACAAGUUUCAUUGUUGAUUAAUAGUCACCUUCUUGCACAGGUAUGUCAAGUACGAGCUGGAAGUAAUUUCUCAGGAUAUCCAAAUUCUAAAAGUAACCUUAGUACUUACUGCAAAACAAUGAGACAUUUUGUUUUCUUAUCCAUCCGCAGAGGCAUAUUCUAACUGUGCAUGUAGUUUAACUUACACACACAGUAUAUAUAAUUAUGCAUCCUCAAUUCCUCAUCUGUCUUGGAAAGAUUUAAUUUGCAUCCUAAUUAGGAGUUCUCUGCCCAGGACCAUGAAUAACACACACACGAACACACUCCUUAUAAAUCUUCUUGCAAUUGCAUGCAUGUCUAUAUGAUCUCUCUAUACAUCUAACAAUUAUAACUCUUCCAAACUACCACCGGCCAAUGAAGUCACCAAUUCACAGAAAAUUUUGGUGUUUCUUCCAAAACACACAGCCUUUCAAUACACGCCUCUGUCAUUUCAGGUAACUGUGGUCUAAUUGAGUACCAUAUAUAUAACUGCUUCAAAAUGAAGUAUUUCAAUCAAAAUUACAGUACUAACGGGUAUAAGACUAUAAUGCAUACAAGUACAUACAAAUCAUUUUUCAGUUAAGAUUAUGUACGUAUUCAACCGCAUAUACGAUCGAUGUCUCAAAUUGGCUGUCAUGUUGUGUGUAAUGUAGUGCAUGCAUGGUUGGGGCAGCUUCUUUCCUUUUCUCAGACCACUUGUCGUACGUGUCAAAGUUUAACUAUGAAGUUCCAUGCAACCCCAAGAAUGGAAACAAUGGCUCUAACAACAUUAUAGUACAUAUGAGAUAUAGUUUCAGAUCCUAAAAGAGCUGAUAAUUUGAAAACCGGCUUUCUCUUAUGAACUUGUGUCAUUGAUUUCUCGUUCAUUUGUGCAAACUAAUUAAUUGCAGCUCCCACAUGGAUGCAAAAAUAGGAUUUUGCCAAUUUUAAACAUGCCGCAAACAACUAAUUAAUUAAUCCAGGCCAGUCUUCUUAGAACUGCAUGUACUCCUCAAUUGACAACUGAUCAGGUAUACUGUAUCAUACAUCAUCAUGCCCUUUCACAAUCGCAACUAAUAGAAUUCAUAUAUAUAUAGAUAUAGGAUUUGCAAUAAAACUUCAUAUGCAGACGCACAUCAUAAACACUUUUUGGUUUUUUAAUUUCUUUCCAAAACACUUCAUCAACCUUAACGAUGUAAAAUAAAGCAAAUUCCAUAGUAUUUCCCAGAUAAUCCAACCACGAACAUACAUAGUCCUCGAUCCUGAUCGACUAUGUUAUUUUGAUAUUAAGCAUAUCAAUUUGUACUCUAACAAUACGCUGCUUUAGCUUAUAUUAUAUAUGUAUUGAUGAUUAAUAAAAAAGGGCACAAAAGGCGAAUAGGUAAUAUAGUAAUACCAUUCUGUUUACCCUAUACAGCAACUCAAUAUAUUUCCUUUGAAGUACUGUACCGGCUCCUAUGAUUGUAAUAGGUAAUUAGUAUCUUGUAUGGACUACUUACUGUAGUAAUAUAUAUGUUUUUACGCUUAGUUUCAUUUCCAAAGAUCAAUUUGGCAACUUGAGGUGGAUGUUGAGGCGGCAUAGUCCUGUGCAAUAAUAUUUUCCGGCCUCUUGGAUUCGUUGGCUCCCAUACUCGUAUGCACUUCAUCACCCACGGGAUCAAAUACUGCUUCAUUCGAGUAAUUUGCUGUUGUUUCCUUUGAAGCUUCUUGCUGGUCAUGGCUGAGCUGUGAUGCAACAAAUUUGUCAAGAACUCGCCAAUCUGUAAGUUGAUCAUCAAGACUGUUGUCAUUAUAAAGUAGUGGUGAGGAGUUGAUCAUGAGAUUAUGUUGGUUCAUCUGCUGCACUUGCUCCUCAGGCCUGAACGUGGAAGAUGGCAUGACAUGACAUCCAUUGUUCCUAAGAUGAUGAUCAUAAGUGCCAUAUUGAGCAACCUUGGGGCUUUCUAAUUGAGGGAGCUGGAGAAAAGAAUCAGGAUGAGGAGGCACAGGAAUAGCGUUGUACUGCAAAUGAUGAUCAAGUUCUUGUUUGCAGUUGGAAUAAAGCUGUUGAUGAUAUGAUGAUGAUGAUGAUGUUGUUGUAUAAGCAGGGUUUGGAAACAUAUUUGUCCUUGGAGAAUCAAGUUCGGGCAUGAAUGAGGAGCUUUGGUCAUACCAACAUGGUGACUCGUAAUCACCCAUUCUCCUUACUGUUGCCAAUCGUUUCUUGAACACCCUACAGACAACCCAUCCUUCUUCCUGUAUUUAUAUAUAGACCGGUUAGGAGUUAAUUAAUUAACACCAACAUUUCACUGAUACAAUUAACUUUUCACUUUUGGUCUGAACAAAGAGAAAUAACUUUAGCUAGGUAACAAAACUUACAAAACAUAUACCUAUCUUGCACCCAAAAAACAACAAAUUACAUAGAUGUUAUGGUGUCAGGUGGUAUUUGGUGUUCUAUGUUGUCAAACUGUCAAUAAUCCAAAUUGAUAGUUUGUUAAGCUUAACAUCAAGUAAGAUGCAAUGCACAAAAAGUGUUACUUCUUUUUUUGGUCGAAAACAAAAAGGGUUUUACUUCCAAAUGUAAAAGACUGACUAGUCUCUGAAGAAGGCGUAAACCUCGAGAAUAUUUUGAUAACUUCAGACAUCGAUUCCAUGACCUAGGUUUUCUGUUAUGCGUAUGUAAAUUGCAUUCUAACAAAUGGCUCAAAACCGCUUGAGUCUUCAAAGUAAAUGUGUUAAGUCAAGUAGACCUAAUAUCUUGUAUGCUGAUCGAGAAGUAUUCCACAAGGCCGCUAUAUCUGGCAUGUAUCUUAUAUUAUGAUGAACUCAAUGCGGUUCAUAUAAUUAUCAAUGUGAAUAAAAACUUAAAAUGGCAUGAGAGUGGAGGGUUCAAUCACGCUAUGUAUAUCCCUAUUUUAGAAAUUUGGUCAAUUUAACAGAGAAUUUACAGCUGAAAAGCUAGAGCCUGAAGAAAUUGUUAUAGACUGAGAAGAUUGAGUUGUAAAAAACUUGCCUGAGGAGGUCCAUUUUCAUUAGUUUCAAGUCGAUACUCAUGCAUGAUCCAAUCUGACUUCUGUCCAUUUGGAGCACGUCCUUUGUAAAACACCAGAGUCUUUCUCAUGCCAACUAGGUUGUGCCUGAUGUAAAUAGCUUUAUCUCUUCCGGUAGCUUUCCAAAACCCAGCUUUGGUUGCCCUAUUUGUGCGAGUUCCGGUUGGGUACUUUUUAUCUUUGUGACUGAAAAAGUACCACUCAUUCUGAUCUUCACUACCUAUUUUGCACAAUUCUGUCCAAUUGGACAACAACUGUCAGCGCGCACUCGGAAGAUAUUAAUCAAAGUCUUUUUACUCAAUUUAAUUAUUUACUUGAUCAACAAGUUUCAUGAAUUCCUACCUUGAAGAUCCCAUGGCUCAAUCUUAUAAAGAUCAACAUCUCUGAUGACAUCAAGGUCGAUCUUCUUUGAAGCAAUCUUCUUUCUGAGAUAAUAAUCAACAAGUUCUUCAUCUGUCGGGUGGAAUCUAAAGCCCGGGGGUACAUGUGAAAAGGUAUUCAUGUUCUUCAAACCUGCACAUAUAUAAAGCCAAUAAAUAACUAACAACAAUAUGUUUAUAUGCAAUUCAUAUAUGUAUGCAUAAAUUAUUUGCAACCAACGCCUCCUAAGAGUGGUAAGGGACAUGAGAACAGGAUGGAGAUUGUGAGGAUAAACAUGCAUGUAUCGCCGCCUGGUGUUUACAAUUGUGCAAAGUUUGUAUUGUCAGACCGAUGGGUGAGAGAAGAAUAGGAAGCAUGAAAAUCACAACUACGUACUGCAGUCGACAAUACAACAGUCAAGAACAAAUAAUUCGAUACCUUGUGUGUGAACCAAUAGGAAAUUGUUCGAUUAUUGAUACUGGAAACUUAUGUCAAAAGUAAUGGAGCAGCUAUUACAGUUUAUAGUCCAUGAAUUUGUGAGGAGAAACCCUAUAGGCAUGAAGAAAUCUAAAAGAUAUAGGAAUCGAAAUGUAAAUCAUGAAAGUUACCAAAAUUGAAAAAGAAUGAUUUGAUCAAGGGCAUAAAAUUUAUUUUCUUAUAUAUACCUCUUGCCAGAUUUCCUUAGAUUUUUUUACUAGAUUUUAUUACAAAGGAAAACUGAACGGAUAUACCGUCUAUAUGGAAUAAUUAAUGCAUAUAUUAUUGGAGAUUAUGAGCACCAUUAAGGAGAAAACUUACUUAAAUUGAAGAAAUGUCUAGAAUUCAAUAAAUUCAAGAACCUAUAUAUCAUGUCAUUGAGUCGAAAGGGAACCAUAAUUAAACAUGCCAAGGCACAAAAUUUCUAAAUUAGGACCUUCUUAUUACCGUUCUAAGGAAAAUUAAGGUUACCUGCUUACCUUAUUAUUUGAAUCCUGAUUCAUAAAUAAGAUGAAUAGCUGUACAGUACGGAUGAUGUUAUGAAUUGAUGAAUGUACUCACGUAUGUAUGCAAACUUAAUUAUAAUUUAACAUCUUAUGAAAGAAAACAUACAUGUUGAUAUAUUCGUAGUCAUUCAAAUUAACCUGGAUAAAUAAAAUUUUCACAGACUUCACAUAUAUUAAUGUGACCAUAAGAAAACCAGGCAUCUUAUUUUCAUUUGCUCAUAGCUAGCUAGUACUCAAGAUCGAACAAUAAAAAAAAACAAUGCAGCAAGUUACUACAUGACAAAAACAAAAUGAUUAUAUAUGCUUGUAUAGCAAGCUAGGACUCAUCUAAAUAAUUUUGCUUUAAUUUUUUAUUUUUGUAACUAUAGUAUGACAAUAUUAUUAUUCACUUGUUGGAGAUAAAGGACUAGUAUAGCUAUCAAGAUCCAUGUGUGUAAAAAAGAUAUGGUAUGGCGAGUGUAGUGCUAAAUUGUUGAAUCGAAAUUUCAUGAAAACCUACCCCAUCAAGUUGAGGAAAAGGAGAUUUUUUUUUUUUUUUUUAAUCACUUGGGUACCAAAAUUGAAAGACAAUAAAUCCAUGGAAGAUCAAUUUUCAUCCAAAGAACAAAAUGCAGACGAAGAAAUAAUUAUAAAAACAACCGUGCGUGGUUUACAUGAAAUCAUUAAAAGGAACACUAUCUCCUAACAAGAAGGCCCUAGCUUCAACAAAUUUGCAUUCAGUUAGCUAAGUGAUCAAUCCAUUUCCUGUGAGGCCACAGUACAGAUCGAGACGAACAAAAAGAAAAUAAAGCAAACCAAAUAGAGAACAAAAGAAGAGGAAGAAGACCUUUAUGAUAAGUAAUGAUAAUGAAGAAGACGAAGAAGAAGAGGAAGAUCGAGGAAGAAGAAGAAGCAGAGAUUAGAGAUGAUAACAACCUUGGCUAAAUUUGCUGCAGUACAGAUCUGAUUGAACCAGAACCUCGUAUCCACCGAUCAGCUUAGAGAUAUAAGAUCGAGACAAGAAGGAGCUAGGUGCUGAGCUUUAGACACUCACACUUUUUUGCUGUAAAAUCCUACUGAUCGAGCAAUUGAGCAGACAAAAGAAGAAGCACAGAAAGAAAGAGAGAAACAGAAACAAACAAGCAGACAACAGAAGACCUCGGGACUUGAGCUGAUCUCUCCUCCUCAACCGAUGAACUUUGUGUUUUAAGAACUGUCUUGUCGCAAUAUAGAGAUAGAGAUCAGAUCCCGAGGAUUGGAAAAGAAGGAAAGGAAAGUGAAUUCGGAAAAGGGAAAAGGAAAGUUAAGAAUGGCAAAAUAGAGAAGAGGUUGAGUUAAAUAACAAGCAAACACAACACAACAGAAGAAAACAAAACACAUGCCCUAAUCAUAAUCCAUCCCUCUCAUAUAUACUGAUCGAUAUUACAUUACAGUUUGUUUCUCUCUCCUUUAUCUUUUCAGCGGGCUUGAUUGCUGCAAAAGCUUCGCUCAUAGAAAAAGGGAGGCGCUCAAAUGGCUCACUGAGAGAGAGAGAGAAGGGAUGUGGAGAGAGAACAAGUGUAUAACCUCCACAGCCACCCACCAGCUACUGAUGGAGACCAGAAGAGAGGGAUCAGCAGCUUCUGAAGGGGGCUUUGUCUCUCUGGGAGCGAAUGAAAAAGAUUGGACGGUGAGAUGGAGAUGAUGAGAUCGGUUUGGGUUCUCUAUCUUAAAUAUCUUAAACGACAAUGAAGGACAAAGGAUUAAAUGUAAUAAAGAGAGUGUGUUAAAGAAACUAAUUGAUGUAUGAUGAUGACGAUUAGGAUUAUAAUAUAGAGCUAGAUUUGUAAUCGAUGGAAAGGAUAUUUUUGGUAGUGGUGAGCUUGACCUCUCUCUCUCUCUCUACCUGAGGUGGAGGGGUGAUGAACAUUCUCCCGCCCAAAAAGUAAUCCCUGCCCUAGCCCCUCGCUUUCAGCUACUCCUUCUGUAGACUACUGUUUCGUUAAUUUGAGAGUUGAGGCUACACCGCGUGAUGUGCACGCCCAGAUUAAUUACAAUAGGACAGAAAUAUGAUUAUCUUGCCACCCCUUCUAGAUGCUAGCUGCAAUUUGAGACUUUGUAAGAAUUUAAGAUUUAAAAUCAGAGAUUUUCCUCUAAAAAGAUGAGAUAUGGUACUUAUGUCGAUCGAUCUAUAUAUGUUGGUUUAGAUUGUUCUAUAAUUUUUGUUAUGGAUUCUAGUUUUAAAUGACAAAUCUUUGAUUAUGAAGUUAGUAAUGUUUAGUCUACACAUAUCGUAUUGAGAAUCUGCUAACCACUUUAAUGUUAAUGGUUUAUAUCAGUUCCUAUUCAUAGCGAAGCUUCGCUCUGAAAUUAAAGUGUGAAGUUUCUUAUUUGACUCACUUUUCGGUCAUAUUUUCACAUCUCCACCGUUCUCUUUAUUAAUACUAAUGCAUAGAUCAUUCAUGCAAAAUUUCAUCGAAUUUGAUGGUCGUUUGGGUGUUCAUAAUCGUGAUAUACACACAUGCAUAGUUCUGGUCAGAUAGGUUUAUGGUCCAUUUAUUUAUUUAACCUAAUUCGGUACCUAGACGAUCAUUAAUUUGAAUGAAAUUUUACAUGAAUGAUCUAUGCAUUAGUAUCAAUAAAGAGAACGGUGGAGAUGUGAAAAUAUAAUUGAAAAGUGAGUCAAAUAAGAAACUUCACCCUUUAAUUUCAUAGCGAAACUUCGCUCUAGAUAUGAACUGUAUAUAUAUAUAUAUAUAUAUAUAUAUAUAUAUAUAUAUAUAUAUAUACCAAAAAAGUAUUGUAAUUAUUUCUUUUAGUUUCUUUUUUUAUAUGAAUUUUCAAUACUAAAAUCCUCAACUGAAAAGUUUGCAAUGUAUAACUUACUCGAGGAUCAAUUGGUUGUUCUAGCAUUAAUUAAUUAUGCAAAACUCCGUUGUCUCUUGAGCGUGUAUCAGAAGAAGCAUGUCAAGGGAGCUACGAUUGUUCAUGUUUGAGUAACCAGUGAAACAUGCAACUUAUAAACAGACUUAAUAACAACAGUAGGGAAGAUUAACGGCAACUCAAAAUCCAAUCUCUAAUCCUCGUAACACACAAUAUUAUCACCCAAAUAACUAACAAACAACACUACCAACGAACCAUUUAGCGUGAUUCAUAAAAUAUACGCUUAUUUAUAUGCUUUUGUUUAAUACAAUUAGAUCUUUUGUGACCAACCAUUACCAACACCUUACUCUAUAGAUCGAGUUGCCCUCCAAACCCUAAACAAAACCAGCUCGAUGGAGCCCGUAACAAGAAAAAAAAGAAUUACAGGAAUUCCAAAAAGUGCACAUAAACAAUGCAAGAACGUCUAGAAAGAUAGAAAACCUUAAAAAACAAAAAUUUGUAUUAUCCUAUUCGACACCAGCAAUUGCACGCGGGCUCUGGUUGGUUGGUCCGCAAUACUCUGUUCUGUAUUUCCCUUCAUGACCUGGACCCCAUUAUGAACCGACCCCUAUACAAAUACGACAGCAACACCUCUCCUCUCCUCUAAUCGGCUCGCUCGGCUCAGCUGAGCCCAUCCGUAAGCCAGGUGCGACAGUGCAACAAUGAAAGACAGGUCGUUGUGCUGCGUGAGUUUCCGUGCCCUCUCUAUGGUGGUGGAGUGUGGGACCCAUUUUUGGGGGGGGGGGGUUGGCGGAACGGAAUGAUGUCCCCGGGACUGGGUUACGUGGCGGCUGAUGGUCCGGCGUGGGCUAGCCCAAGAGAUCAUUAGGCUCACGAUUUUCUGUGCAGGCCGGUUUAUGCUUGUGGGGUCCGUCCCGUUAUCCCGUUAUGAGUCUCAAACUUUGGGGGUCCCACCAGUCUUCCCGGCCACCCUGUUCUUGGCAGGAGAAGCUUACGCUUUGCCGUGUACCCGUUCGUGUCCGUUUUAGAAUGAAGACGCGCGCGGAUUUGCUUACUUACAAGCGAAUUACAAUGGAAAUUUAGUAUUCUUACUAAACCCUAAAGCAUUUGUCAUCUCCGACCUCUUCAGGGUAAUUAAUAUUCUUAUAUAAGGCGAACUCAAAACCAUUCCUCAUAAACAGUAGAUCGUGUUACUAGACUAAAUUUUAUUGAACGAUUAUACUAACUGUUUUGUAUUAAUUUUAGGCAAACCCACCAUCGUUUUUUUCUUCAUUUUUUCCCUAGCCUGUGUAGCGGGCCGGUGCAUUGCCUUUGGGUUUUGGGGUCUUUAGGGUAAAGGAAAUGCGUUAAAUAUGAUAUAAUAGUGGGAUAAGCAUGUUUCGUUGUAACAAGCUACAGUAAAGAAAGAAGUGAAGCUAAAGUCUCAAACGUGAUCCCGGUGUCAUUUAGGACCCAUGGUUACGUGGAGUUGAGUUUGUUUUCAAGUUUAAGAUCCUAUUGGACCAAACGGGUUUUAUUACUAGCUCUUCC